GUUUGGGUUCUUGGAGAACUGGGCUGACUUUUCUGUUGGCUACCGGGUCUAGAAGCAAGGAUGGACUACACCUUAAUAGGGAGGGAGAAGCUUUGCUGGGGGA
Molecule: long non-coding RNA, 103 nt
Organism: Nanorana parkeri
Lineage: Eukaryota; Metazoa; Chordata; Amphibia; Anura; Dicroglossidae
Exons: 3
Source: RefSeq, a predicted model, not a curated record